RNAcentral lists this ribosomal RNA (512 nucleotides) under Anax parthenope (lesser emperor dragonfly). Its description in RNAcentral is "partial 16S rRNA". It matches the Rfam family "Bacterial large subunit ribosomal RNA", at positions 1830 to 2597 of the family's 2925-position model. Lineage: Eukaryota; Metazoa; Arthropoda; Insecta; Odonata; Aeshnidae. The record is from RNAcentral.
GUCUUCUUGCUAUAUUUAGGAAGUCUGGCCUGCCCAGUGAAAAUAAUUUAACGGCCGCGGUAUACUGACCGUGCAAAGGUAGCAUAAUCAUUAGUCUUUUAAUAGAGGGCUGGUAUGAAGGGUUUAACGAGGUGUUGACUGUCUCAUUUAAUUUGAAUUUAGAAUUUAAUUUUUUAGUUAAAAAGCUAAAAUAUUAUUGGAAGACGAGAAGACCCUAUAGAGCUUUAUAUUUUUAUUAUUAAUUUAUUUUAGUUUAUUAUUAUUUAUUAUUAAUAGAAAGUAUUUUGUUGGGGUGACAAAAAUAUAUAAAUAACUUUUUCAUUUAUUUUACAUUGAUAUAUGAAUAUUAGAUCCAAUCUUAUUGAUUGCUAGAUUAAGUUACCUUAGGGAUAACAGCGUAAUCCCUCUCCAGAGUUCAUAUUUACAGAGGGGCUUGCGACCUCGAUGUUGGAUUAAGAUAAUAAUUAGGUGCAGCCGCUUAAUUAAUAGGUCUGUUCGACCUUUAAAUUCUU